This 920-nucleotide ribosomal RNA is filed under the name uncultured bacterium. Its description in RNAcentral is "bacterial SSU rRNA". It matches the Rfam family "Archaeal small subunit ribosomal RNA", at positions 1 to 923 of the family's 1478-position model. The record is from RNAcentral.
UUCCGGUUGAUCCUGCCAGAGGUUACUGCUAUCGAGAUUCGACUAAGCCAUGCGAGUCGAAUGUUCUUCGUGAACAUGGCGGACUGCUCAGUAACACGUGGACAACCUACCCUUGGGUCUGGCAUAAUCCUGGGAAACUGGGUAUAAUUCCAGAUAGGUCACAGAUGCUGGAAUGCACUGUGGCCGAAAGCUCCGGCGCCCAAGGAUGGGUCUGCGGCCUAUCAGGGUUGUAGUGGGUGUAACGGACCUACUAGCCUACGACGGGUACGGGUUGUGAGAGCAAGAGCCCGGAGAUGGAUUCUGAGACACGAAUCCAGGCCCUACGGGGUGCAGCAGGCGCGAAAACUUUACAAUGCGGGAAACCGUGAUAAGGGAAUCUCGAGUGCCAGCAUAUAAUGUUGGCUGUCCAGAUGCCUAAAAAGCAUCUGUUAGCAAGGGCCGGGCAAGACCGGUGCCAGCCGCCGCGGUAACACCGGCGGCCCGAGUGGUAACCGCUUUUAUUGGGUCUAAAGGGUCUGUAGCCGGCCAAGUAAGUCCCUUGGGAAAUCUGGCAGCUUAACUGUCAGGCUGCUAGGGGAUACUGCUAGGCUUGGGACCGGGAGAGGUGAGAGGUACCUUGGGGGUAGGGGUGAAAUCUUGUGAUCCUCGGGGGACCACCAGUGGCGAAGGCGUCUCACCAGAACGGGUCCGACGGUAAGGGACGAAAGCUAGGGGCACGAACCGGAUUAGAUACCCGGGUAGUCCUAGCCGUAAACGAUGCUCGCUAGGUGUCAGUCACGGUGCGACCGUGAUUGGUGCCGUAGGGAAGCCGUGAAGCGAGCCACCUGGGAAGUAUGGCCGCAAGGCUGAAACUUAAAGGAAUUGGCGGGGGAGCACUACAACGGGUGGAGCCUGCGGUUUAAUUGGAUUCAACGCCGGGA